UACGGAGGAGGCAAGCGUUAUCCGGAAUUAUUGGGCGUAAAGCGUCCGUAGGUGGUUUAGUAAGUCUGCUGUUAAAGCGCGGGGCUUAACUCCGUAUCGGCAGUGGAAACUACUAGACUAGAGUGUGGUAGGGGUAGAGGGAAUUCCCAGUGUAGCGGUGAAAUGCGUAGAUAUCAGGAGGAAUACCGAUGGCGAAGGCAGGUCUCUGGGCUGACACUGACGCUCAUGCACGAAAGCGUGGGGAGCAAACAGG
RNAcentral lists this ribosomal RNA (253 nucleotides) under uncultured bacterium. RNAcentral's name for it is "partial 16S ribosomal RNA". It matches the Rfam family "Bacterial small subunit ribosomal RNA", at positions 524 to 776 of the family's 1533-position model. The record is from RNAcentral.